AUUGAACGCUGGCGGCAGGCCUAACACAUGCAAGUCGAACGAGUGGCGGACGGGUGAGUAAUGUCUGGGAAACUGCCCGAUGGAGGGGGAUAACUACUGGAAACAGUAGCUAAUACCGCAUACCAUCGGAUGUGCCCAUAUGGGAUUCGCUAGUAGGUGGGGUAACGGCUCACCUAGGCGACGAUCCCUAGCUGGUCUGAGAGGGUGACCUGCCACACUGGAACUGAGACACGGUCAAGACUCCUCCGGGAGGCAGCAUUGGGGAAUAUUGCACAAUGGGGGCAGGCCUGAUGCAGCCAUGCCGCGUGUAUGAAGAAGGCCUUCGGUUUGUAAAGUAAUUUCAGCGAGGAGGCGUUACUCGCAGAAGAAGCACCGGCUAACUCCGUGCCAGCAGCCGCGGUAAUUC
This 406-nucleotide ribosomal RNA is filed under the name uncultured bacterium. RNAcentral's name for it is "partial 16S ribosomal RNA". It matches the Rfam family "Bacterial small subunit ribosomal RNA", at positions 30 to 526 of the family's 1533-position model. The record is from RNAcentral.